CUUUUACCAUAAACUGAAAAAAUGAAAACAUUGGUUGAAAAUUAGCAGCAUAGCUGCUUUGUACUAGCAUGUGCGUUACUGCUGUCUGGCCAAGUGUAUAUCUUACACAGAGAAAAUAAAUUAACUACAGUUUAUACUAAACUUUUUAAAAAACCAUUAUAUAUAUUUUCUUUUUACAGAUUCUUUUUGGGGCCAAAAAGUCAGGUUUUUUUAUACACCUGAAGUAUACACAUGAUGAUGCCAGGCUGCUGGGAGAGUGAAUUUAACCAUCCAUGUAUCAGCAUAGUUUGAUUCAUUUUGAGGGUGAAGGUGGAUGUAAAACUCCGACAUUGUACAAAGCAAAUUCCACCUGAAUAAAACCUAAAAAUGAAGGCUAACGAUUACCUAAAAACAUAUAAUGUGAGCUAAUCUGGUGAACAGAAGCAUUGGGAUGAUGUGACAAGGCAAAGACUCUUGUCAAACAGAAUGUAAGGCAUCCGUUUGGCCAGAAUAUAUGAGAUUAGAUACUUGACUAUAGUUGGGGGGAAAUAAAUGCUUUGAAGGGUCUCUGUCAAUGUGGCUGUCUCAUUCUGUACCCAUCUCAGGUUUUUCUUGUACCUCUUUUACCUACAAGGUGCAUUGGAAAAACAGACACAAUACUUUGUCUACAUUUCAUGCACACAGUAAUGCACAGUAUUCAUGCACAUUUCUAGUCACCUGGGCCUUGUUCUGCUUGCCAUUGUCUAGAUGGCCUCUUACAAAAUAUAGCAACAGAAAACAGUCACACAAUUCCAAAAGGGCUAUUCACUACAGUGAGAAUAAUCAGGAAUUCAGUAGCUUUCAAAUUUAUCGGGACACUCGUGUGAAAUUGGUGUCCUAUUUUUUCAUUUUGGAAAAACUGCAGAUUUUAAUAGAAAUUUACGCUUUUAUAAAUUAUACUGGUUACACCCCCUGGCUUUUUAAGCAGACAACAGGUAUUAUUACUUCCUGGUUUGGCUAGCUUAUUUGGACUGAACUCAAAAGGCAGCAAUUGCUCAGAGCAGCUGUCUUGCAAAUACUUCUCAUUGAGAUGCAUUAGGAAGGCUGUGAUUUGACAGCGACAAAGUCUGGGCUGGGUUAGAAGAGGAGGGCGUGCAGGCAGGAGAACUGUAGGUUUUGCAAGCUUAUUUUAGAUAUAUCCCCAAUGAAAAUGCAUAAUUAAAUGCAUGUCCCUUUAAGGCCAAAAUAGCUGAAAUGGAAAAAAUAUCCAAGUCUACAAUUCCCUCCAGUUUGGCUAUUUUGGCCUAAAUUUGAAGCUCACUUUGAAUACCCGACAAUUCUCACUCCAUUAAUAACUCUUCAAAUAUCAAACACACAACCAGUAUUCGCUACACAGUCAAAAUGCAUUAACAUACAAAGACUGGAUUCCUUGCCUUUGUUAUUAUAUUUGAUAUGGUAAAAAACACUUUGGCCUUGAUUUAGUGAUUUUUCCAACUGAUGAAUUACUGUUAGAAUGAUCUAUCUACAAAAAAAAAUGCCAUAGGUUUUAAUGGUGACUUCUGCAAAUAAAAAAAAACCACUUUCCAAAUGAUUUAACAGUACCGAGUCAUUUGGAAUGCUUAUUAAAUCAAGGCCUCUAUUGUUUAAAAUCUGUGUUUUACUUUAACACAAUAGUUUAUCUUAGGGUACUCUAUAGCACAAUACUGUAGGUUAUGCUUAAGUUGGAACUUCUGCUCCAAGCACAUUCUGGUGGUUAUGGUACCAGACGGUCUCACAUUGAAAAUAGCCACACCAUUUUAUAAAUUUUUUUGGGUCCGCCAGGUCUCGUAACCCACUUCCACCAAUUCCAUGAGCAAGCUGAAAGCUUCCAGUAGCUCUUCUGAGCCAAGCCUUGCAAUACAGGGAUAGCCCAUUAACUAAUAGGGUCAAUUCAGACAGAAAGCUUCCAGCAGUGUCGGACAAAGUGGAGGGGGCCAGACGGUUUGCUUACAAUGGGGAAG
Molecule: non-coding RNA, 1958 nt
Organism: Pelobates cultripes (western spadefoot toad)
Lineage: Eukaryota; Metazoa; Chordata; Amphibia; Anura; Pelobatidae
Source: the annotation of a GenBank genome assembly